UGGGGAAUAUUGGGCAAUGGGCGAAAGCCUGACCCAGCAACGCCGCGUGAGGGAAGAAGGUUUUCGGAUUGUAAACCUCUGUCCUAUGGGAAGAAGGAAGUGACGGUACCAUAGGAGGAAGCCCCGGCUAACUACGUGCCAGCAGCCGCGGUAAUACGUAGGGGGCGAGCGUUGUCCGGAAUGACUGGGCGUAAAGGGCGCGUAGGCGGCCGUAAAAGGUUCACGUGAAAGUCCUGCUUUCAAGGUGGGAAUGGCGUGGGAAACUGUAUGGCUUGAGUGCGGAUGAGGGAAGUGGAAUUCCCAGUGUAGCGGGGAAAUGCGUAGAGAUUGGGAGGAACACCAGUGGCGAAGGCGACUUACUGGGCCGUAACUGACGCUGACGCGCGAAAGCGUGGGGAGCGAACA
Molecule: ribosomal RNA, 405 nt
Filed under: uncultured prokaryote
Description: bacterial SSU rRNA
Rfam family: Bacterial small subunit ribosomal RNA
Source: RNAcentral